GUAGGGACCGAGCGUUGUCCGGAGUUAUUGGGCGUAAAGCGCGCGCAGGCGGCUGAUCAAGCCCGACGUGAAAGCCCCCGGCUUAACCGGGGAGGGUCGUUGGGGACUGGUUGGCUUGAGGGCGGGAGAGGUCGGUGGAAUUCCCGGUGUAGUGGUGAAAUGCGUAGAGAUCGGGAGGAACACCUGUGGCGAAGGCGGCCGACUGGGCCGACCCUGACGCUGAGGCGCGAAGGCGUGGGGAGCGAACGGGAUUAGAUACCCCGGUAGUCCACGCAGUAAACGAUGCAGACUAGGCGUGGGUGGACUUGACCCCAUCCGUGCCGAAAAUAACGCGGGAAGUCUGCCGCCUGGGGAGUACGGCCGCAACGGGGUG
Molecule: ribosomal RNA, 373 nt
Filed under: uncultured bacterium
Lineage: Bacteria
Description: bacterial SSU rRNA
Rfam family: Bacterial small subunit ribosomal RNA
Source: RNAcentral